Monodelphis domestica (gray short-tailed opossum) is the source of this 1714-nucleotide non-coding RNA. The record is from RefSeq and is a predicted model, not a curated record. NCBI's taxonomy places the organism in Eukaryota, Metazoa, Chordata, Mammalia, Didelphimorphia, Didelphidae.
UGAGGUAGAAGGAUGAGAUUGCUUGAUUGGCCCCAGGGGCCAUAACCAGCAGCAGUAAAUGGAAAUCUCAGAGAGGCUGAUUUUUCUUAAACAAUAGUUUUGAUUUAAGGGGAAAAAAAUCCUAACAAAGCUAUUUAAAAAUAAAAUAGGGCAGCUAGAUGGUGCAGCGGAUAGAGUGUUAGACUUGGAGCAGAAAGGCUUAUUUUCCUGAGUUCAAAUCCAGCUUCAGACACUUAUUAGCUUAACAGUAAACCCUCAAGGACCUUUCAAUCACCCAAACAAGAACUUGGCUAAAGACAAUGGCUAGAUCACCUGUUACAUCUCUCCCACUGUGGUUAGUGCUUUUUUCCCAAGCAGGUGGCAGAGCCUAUCUUUCCUCCCCCUCCAAAAAUCUAUAUCAACACUUUGUGUUCUGCAGUUUAUGGGAAAUCCCAGGCCUGCCAUUCUGUGCUUCUUCCUAGAUUCAUCUGCCUACCUUAAUUAAAUACCCUUAUUAUAACUAAGGGAUUGUAUGAUUUUCUGUUUGUUUUUUUUUUCAGGAUGACAUAUUUGGAAGUCUUGCUGGGAUUUCAAAGUCUGCAGGACUUUGUGUAGACUGCAGGAAUUUGUUGUGUUUCAAUCCAGAUUCAAUUCAGCCAUCUUGGAGGACUCAUUCUAAACCCCUGGAGCCCAGCCAUCCCAUGUCCCAGUGGUUUCACACUAUAGCUAGAAUCUGGAGAUGGAGUCUACAGAAGACACUGGUGCAAGCACACCAUGCACCAGAUGGGAAGGACCUCAACUCUUAGAAGACUCCAAAUGUGGCUAAUGAAUUGUUUCAUUGCCUGGUUUGCAAACUGCCAGGAGCCAUCAAAGACCACGAUGUUUGACACGGUCCAUGUGGAAACUGGGGACUGCAAAGCAGGCCCCAGGAAGGAUGGAAACACCGCCUGAAACUCCCUUAAGUGACUUUUAUUAUUAACACCCCCUUAUUAUUGGAAUUGCAAUGAUUAUUAUUUUUACUUAGCCCCAGGAAAAAUAGAUAAGAGCAACAUGCCUGCAGGGUUAAUACAGAUGUCCCACUCUGUCCCCCCAGGAUAUUACCAGGAGAGCCCACUUACAAAAUUAAACCCCAGGAUUCUUAUAUACCCACUUAGAUAGGACCCUCUUUUCUGGGCAUAAAAAAAGUCUAUGCUCUGAAUUCCCCAACCUAUAUCUGGGUCAUGUUGAUUCUAUCCUCUGAUCCUACAUUUAGCAACAAUGUUUCAUUGACUAUCUCCCUAGGCUUCCUGUCUGUUGUUAUGUUCCAUGGAAACAUGUAUGUUGAGAAAGAAACUGUGUGCCAAGUAGAUGUGUGAUCAUGAGGAUAUAAAAUAAAGCCAGGCCUCAGCCAAGGUGGAACAGUUUAUCCUGUGAAACCUGUGCUUCGGAUUGAAUGUGAAAGCUAUGUCCCAUCCAUCAUUUCACUGACACUAUCCCAUCUCCAAGACCCCAUCCCCUGUGGGAGGCUGGCCCACCCCACAGCAACAAACUUUGAUAAACCUGUUUUGUGGUCUUUAGCUUUUGUAUUUCUAUAGCAUACUAUAUAUCUGUUCUUUAAAUGUUACUUUAACUCUGCAACUACUAUGGUAUUGUUAGACAAACUGCAUUUUCCUAGCAAGUGUGGCUUAGAUCUCUAUUUGUCAGAAGUAGAUUUUAACAGAAAUGUAAUAAGAUGCUAUUAAAAGCUGACUAAUGA